This 253-nucleotide ribosomal RNA is filed under the name uncultured bacterium. RNAcentral describes it as "partial 16S ribosomal RNA". It matches the Rfam family "Bacterial small subunit ribosomal RNA", at positions 524 to 776 of the family's 1533-position model. The record is from RNAcentral.
UACGUAUGGUGCAAGCGUUAUCCGGAUUUACUGGGUGUAAAGGGAGCGUAGGCGGCGCGUUAAGUCUGAUGUGAAAACCCGAGGCUCAACCACGGGAGUGCAUUGGAAACUGGCGGGCUGGAGUGCCGGAGAGGUAAGCGGAGUUCCUAGUGUAGCGGUGAAAUGCGUAGAUAUUAGGAGGAACACCAGUGGCGAAGGCGGCUUACUGGACGGCAACUGACGCUGAGGCUCGAAAGCGUGGGGAGCAAACAGG